Molecule: ribosomal RNA, 1632 nt
Filed under: Stenotrophomonas sp. SC-N050
Lineage: Bacteria; Pseudomonadati; Pseudomonadota; Gammaproteobacteria; Lysobacterales; Lysobacteraceae
Also listed under: 1 other name
Description: bacterial LSU rRNA
Rfam family: Bacterial large subunit ribosomal RNA
Source: RNAcentral
CCGUGUGCGUACAAGCAGUAGGAGCCUCGCAAGGGGUGACUGCGUACCUUUUGUAUAAUGGGUCAGCGACUUACUGUUCGUGGCAAGCUUAACCGUAUAGGGGAGGCGAAGGGAAACCGAGUCUGAUAAGGGCGCAUAGUCGCGGGCAGUAGACCCGAAACCGGGUGAUCUAGUCAUGGCCAGGGUGAAGGUGCCGUAACAGGUACUGGAGGCCCGAACCCACGUCUGUUGCAAAAGACGGGGAUGAGCUGUGAUUAGGAGUGAAAAGCUAAUCGAACCCGGAGAUAGCUGGUUCUCCUCGAAAGCUAUUUAGGUAGCGCCUCAUAUGUAUCCUCUCGGGGGUAGAGCACUGUUAUGGCUAGGGGGUCAUCGCGACUUACCAAACCAUUGCAAACUCCGAAUACCGAGACGGACUGUAUGGGAGACACACGGCGGGUGCUAACGUCCGUCGUGAAAAGGGAAACAACCCAGACCCACAGCUAAGGUCCCAAAUUUUGUGCUAAGUGGAAAACCAUGUGGAAAGGCACAGACAGCCAGGAGGUUGGCUUAGAAGCAGCCACCCUUUAAAGAAAGCGUAAUAGCUCACUGGUCGAGUCGGUCUGCGGGGAAGAUUUAACGGGGCUAAGCACAGAACCGAAGCUUGGGGUGUGCAUAUUUAUAUGUACGCGGUAGAGGAGCGUUCCGUAAGCCGUUGAAGGUGGAUUGAGAAGUCUGCUGGAGGUAUCGGAAGUGCGAAUGCUGACAUGAGUAACGAUAAUGCGGGUGAAAAACCCGCACGCCGAAAGCCCAAGGUUUCCUUGCGCAACGUUAAUCGGCGCAGGGUGAGUCGGCCCCUAAGGCGAGGACGAAAGUCGUAGUCGAUGGGAAGCAGGUUAAUAUUCCUGCACCUCGCGUAAGUGCGAUGGAGGGACGGAGAAGGUUAGGCAUACCGGGCGUUGGUUGUCCCGGGGAAAGGCGGUAGGUUUGGAUCUUUGGCAAAUCCGGGAUCCUUCAAGACCGAGCACCGAGACGAGCCUUUAUGGCGAAGUUGCUGAUACCACGCUUCCAGGAAAAGCUCCUAAGCUUCAGCUUACGCAGACCGUACCGUAAACCGACACAGGUGGGUAGGAUGAGAAUUCUCAGGCGCUUGAGAGAACUCGGGUGAAGGAACUAGGCAACAUGGCACCGUAACUUCGGGAGAAGGUGCACCCUUUUUGGUGGCUCGUGCGAGCUAUAGCUGAAGAGGGUCGCAGUAACCAGGCCGCUGCGACUGUUUAUCAAAAACACAGCACUCUGCAAACACGAAAGUGGACGUAUAGGGUGUGACGCCUGCCCGGUGCUGGAAGGUUAAUUGAUGGGGUCAGCCGCAAGGCGAAGCUCUUGAUCGAAGCCCCAGUAAACGGCGGCCGUAACUAUAACGGUCCUAAGGUAGCGAAAUUCCUUGUCGGGUAAGUUCCGACCUGCACGAAUGGCGUAACGACAGCGGCGCUGUCUCCACCCGAGACUCAGUGAAAUUGAAAUCGCUGUGAAGAUGCAGCGUUCCCGUGGCAAGACGGAAAGACCCCGUGAACCUUUACUAUAGCUUUACACUGAACGUUGAGUUCGUCUGUGUAGGAUAGGUGGGAGGCUAUGAAACCAUGGCGCUAGCUGUGG